GACGAACGCUGGCGGCGUGCAUAACACAUGCAAGUCGAAGGGGGCCCGCAAGGGCAACCGGCGAACGGGUGCGUAACACGUAAGCGACCUGCCUCGAUGUGGGGCAUAGCCGGCCUAACGGCCGGGUAAUUCCGCAUACGCUCUUGGGAGGGGCAUAUCUCCGAGAUGAAACCAGCAAUGGGCAUUGAGAGGGGCUUGCGGCCUAUCAGCUAGUUGGUGAGGUAACGGCUCACCAAGGCUACGACGGGUAGCUGGUCUGAGAGGACGACCAGUCACACUGGAACUGAGACACGGUCCAGACACCUACGGGUGGCAGCAGUCGAGUAAUUUUUCUCAAGUGGGGGCAACCCUGAAGGAGCGACGCCGC
RNAcentral lists this ribosomal RNA (367 nucleotides) under uncultured bacterium. Its description in RNAcentral is "bacterial SSU rRNA". It matches the Rfam family "Bacterial small subunit ribosomal RNA", at positions 28 to 400 of the family's 1533-position model. The record is from RNAcentral.